GAGACAGGCAAUCCCAAACACCCGGAUUUGGGGUGAGGAGCAGCCCCAUCCCGUUUUCCCUCCGUACCCACACUGCCCGCUCUGUUAAUACCCCGGUUCUCUUCUGUGACUUCAGGCUAUCUUAAAACCCAAACCUUGUUGCCAUGGAGACAAUAAGCCGGUCAGCACAUCUGCCAGGAGAGCAGGACACGGGAUUUUUAAAGGGAGAAUUCCAAAGGCUCAGACUUUUGCGCAUCCACGGCAGCGGCUCCAUCAAAUCCACAAAGAGGAUCCCGUUCAUCCCAUUCGCCGUCGCCUCCCAGCCUUUCUACAAUCCCAGGGGGCUGUUGUUGUGCUCUGGUGCCCACCACAAACACCAGGAUCCACGAGGAAUCCAAUCACAAGCACUGGGAUCCAUGAGGACACGGAUCAUGUUCCAAUUCCACGGGCAGGACGUGGAUCCUGUUCCAGUUCCGUGGGCAGCACCGGCCACGCUCAGGGAGCACCAAGGACAGGCAAGGGCUCCCCACAGACAGAACUCAGUGAACCAAAGGCUGCAGAGGCUCCAGACACAACUCCAAACCAUCAUUUGGGGGAGUUUGUUUCGGAGAGCACGGUGGGGGUCGUUGUUUGCUUGCAAACACCCCCUCACACAACAUCCUUCCCCUUUUCUGAGGGAACGCAAAGUGGGAACUGAACUGGGGAGUCGAUGAGUACAUGGGGAAACAUUCAGUUAAGCCUCCUGGUGACACAGAGAUUCCCAGACACAUGGCCUUCCAGAGGGAGAAGGGAAUGUGCAGAAGCCUUGGUGGCUUCAUCGUGGUCAGGUGAGCCUUGUGAAGGUUCAUGGAAUCAUGGAAUAUCCUGAGCUGGAAGGGACCCACAAGGAUCAGAGUCCAGCUCCUGGCCCUGCAGAGACACCCAGGAAGGGGGGACACGCUCCAAGUCCACCCGCCCCUCAAGCCACACCGGAAGACAACUGGGGAAAAGAGUUGUGUAUCCCAUCACUCUGACCUCAUCCCCACAGGAAAUUAUGGAGAGGUGUCAUCUAGACAUGAUCCAACCCUUGGGCUCACCUGGAGCUGCCCAGGUGCAGCACCUCCCACCAUGGGAACACGCAGCUGGAGGGAAGGCUCUGCCUGACCCUCCUCAUUCCAGGAGGGAAUUCCUCAUUUCUCCUCACCCUGGGAGCCUCACCGAGGGUCCAAACCCAGCUGGGCCCAGUGGUGGGAUGGGCUCUCUCCAGCUGGCAGGAGACAUGGAAGCUCUCCAAGCUGACCCAGGGAAAUCCUGCUGUGGUGGCACAAUCCCAGUGCCAGCACCUGGCACAGCCCCUGCACAAGGGACAAUAGGGAUGGGGCUCAGCCCUGCCCUGAGAACAAAACCAGCUUCAAAGGUCACCUCUGGGAUUUGGGAGUUAAAUCCUGAUUGUCAUGACUGGCAGAGCAAUAGGAUCAAGUGUCCCAGGCCAGGCUGGAUGGGCAUUGGAGCCACCUGGGAUAGUGGAAGUUGUCCCUGCCCAUGGAACUGGAUGAUUUUAAGGUCCCUUCCAACCCAAACCAUUCCAUGAUUUGAUGAUUCUGUGACAAGGUAGAAAACCCUGCUUCCCCCCACAGCUCACAGGACCUUCUGUAAGCUCACUUUGUGGUGCAAGAGAGACCUGCAAACCGAGGGGAGCUCCCCUGGCUGCUGGGGCACCGCAGCGAGACACCCCGGGGACAUUCAGCUUGAGCCUCAACCUCCCUUUUUGAUUUAACCUAAAUAACGUACACUUGCCAAGUAAAAGCUGUACUUUUACAAAGUAAAUCUACUCUGCUUUUACUUUGUAAGAUGGUUUGAGUUGGGAGCUGCAGCUGCUGGGUGAGCUCAGCACCCCGAGUUGAGACGACUCAGGGCGAUGUCACCUCUGUGCCAGCGAGGCUCCUGUUCUCUGGAGAGAGGGCUCAAUCUUUUAUUCACCUGUCAAAUGCUUAAAGAGCUUCUAAAUGCUGCACAGAGAAAAAUAACAGCCUUAUGGAAUAAUCACAUUCCAUGACAGUAAAGCUGUAUUUUAGAAAUUAAUGACUCAUCGCAGAAUUGAGCUCAGCCUGGGGAAUGACUGGAACUCAGAGCUGCUCCUCUGCACGUUGUGUUUUAUCCCCCUAGUCAGAGCUGGAUUUUGAGGAAUGCCUGGAUCACUGCAUGUCCCCCCUGGAAUGGAUCUCACACUGCCAGCUACACCCACCUCCUGCAUCCUGGAAAACUGUAACGAAGACCAGAGUGCCAAGGUCACACCCUGAGGUCUCAUUUCAUGCUGAGCAAAAUGGUUUUAAGAAAAAAAUAGCAAAAUUGGAGGAAUAAAUUGGAUGCACAUUGAAAA
This is a long non-coding RNA of Pseudopipra pipra, 2338 nucleotides long. RefSeq lists it as uncharacterized. The transcript is spliced from 2 exons. The record is from RefSeq and is a predicted model, not a curated record. Lineage: Eukaryota; Metazoa; Chordata; Aves; Passeriformes; Pipridae.